Non-coding RNA from Lupinus albus (white lupine), 937 nucleotides. The record is from the annotation of a GenBank genome assembly. Lineage: Eukaryota; Viridiplantae; Streptophyta; Magnoliopsida; Fabales; Fabaceae.
UGUCCAGUAUUAAUAAUGUUCGUAGUUUUUGGCGCUGAAUUAAUCAAUUUAUAUGCAUGUUAUAUGUUUGUGCUUCCUAUUGAAUUGACUAAAGAGAUUUGUUCUGAUGGUUGAGGUGUUGAACUAGGCUGAAGUUGGUUUUGGGUGCCUGAGAUAUACUGAAUUGUGAGAGUAUGUAACAUAAACUGUGUUGAGAACUUGAGAUCCAUCCUUAAACUGCUUUGGGUGUCUAUCAGAAAUGGGAUUUUGUUAUGGGCUGUAACAAUUAAGUUAGUUUAUAGUGGGUAUAUUAGAGAGAUUAGUGAGAUCAUGUAUUGAUGAGCCCAAAUUGCUUUGGAUUUGGAAUUAAUCCUUUCUAUUUGUAUGCUUAUCUAUAUCAAUAAGUUUUGUUAUUAAGAAUUGAACUUUUGACCUUUUCAAAUGAUUUAAAUUGCGGCUGCAAUGUUGUGGUUGCGGUAACUAUCCUAACUUCAUCACACUGACGCAACUGUAUUAGACUGCAUUAGGUCGCAUUGAACUUUAUCAGAUUGCAUUGGGCUGCAUUGAAUUCAAAGAUAUUUUUUUAAUCAUAAAAUAAAACACUGCUCAGGAUGUUAUCUGUUGUUCACUGGAUUGAUGUCUUGACUUUCCUAUAUCUUGGUCUUUGGCAUGAAGUCUUCCUGUGAAACCUGGAUCUUGUUGAACUUAGUGGGAUCAUAGUCUUGACCGGAUCAAUGGUGAGUUUUUGGCCAUUUGGGUUCUGUUCUUCAUGCAUUGGCUGGCCUGUUGAUUCUGUAACCUGCACUUGACUGGUCCAUUAUGUCUUGCACCUGUGUGAUUUGAAACUCUUAAAUUUUGAAUUCUUUAGUCCCAAUGCUGAGUAGUAUAAGAUUAUUCAAUAUCAGCCACCUUAGUUAUCACUUAUCCUUGUGAACAAGUGCACCAGAUUAUAGGUAAC